CCAAGGAGUCUAACAUGUGCGCGAGUCAUGGGGCUCUACGAAACCUAAAGGCGCAAUGAAAGUGAAGGCUGCUUCCGGUGGCUGAGGUGAGAUCCUGGCCCGCGGGCUUGGCGCAUCACCGGCCCGUCUCGUCCGCAUUGUCGGUGAGGCGGAGCAAGAGCGUACACGUUGGGACCCGAAAGAUGGUGAACUAUGCCUGAGUAGGACGAAGCCAGAGGAAACUCUGGUGGAAGUCCGUAGCGAUUCUGACGUGCAAAUCGAUCGUCAAACUUGGGUAUAGGGGCGAAAGACUAAUCGAACCGUCUA
This 306-nucleotide ribosomal RNA is filed under the name Phoronopsis harmeri. RNAcentral's name for it is "eukaryotic LSU rRNA". It matches the Rfam family "Eukaryotic large subunit ribosomal RNA", at positions 666 to 946 of the family's 3401-position model. Lineage: Eukaryota; Metazoa; Phoronida; Phoronidae. The record is from RNAcentral.